This 1169-nucleotide unclassified non-coding RNA is filed under the name Hevea brasiliensis (rubber tree). Lineage: Eukaryota; Viridiplantae; Streptophyta; Magnoliopsida; Malpighiales; Euphorbiaceae. The record is from RNAcentral.
AGGCGUUCAACCAGACUUGGUUGAACCAACAACUACCAUAAUUUCACAACUACUCUAGCAAUCGAUUUGUGAAAGUAAGGAAUUUCUCCUCGAUUAGUUUUACAUAAAGAUAAACACAAGGGAAAGCUACAAGGCAAGAGUUGUACACCAUCAAAUGUGGAGAAAAUACCAAGCACACUCUUUGAAAUACAAGUUUUAUGAUUUUCUAGCAGUACAUAGGCUCUGCACCUUUCAGUGUUUUCCCAGAAUCUGUAUCAGACUUAAUCAAGAAUCGUUUGUACCAAUUCCUGAUAAGAAUAACCUUUGAUCCUGUGGAUGCUUGCACAUGUUACUACACAAGUAUCUCAUCAAGCAUGUCUGAAUGUUAGUUUGUCUGCAUGGCUUCUGCAUGAUACUUCUCCAAUUCAGCAUCAAGAUCUUCUGCAGAAACGUUCUGACCACGGCCUCUGCCCCUUCCACCAUCCUUUCUCAUGCUCCCUCUACCACCACCACCUCGAGGACGGCUAAAUCCACCACCUCUUUGUUGACUUCUUGUAGCAGGAUUUGGAUUUCCAUAUAAACGAUUUCGAAUGGGAGGAAGAGCUGGAGGAGCAAUAUUUGUUCCAGCAAGCUCAAUUUUCAUGGGCUUCCCAUCCAGCUGAACAUUGUUAUAUCUCUUAAUGGCUGCCUCUGCAUCCCUUCGCCGUGAAAAGAUUACUUCUGCAGUUCCCUUUGAUCUUCCACUCUUGUCAUAAUGAAUUGAGUAACGCUUUAUAUCACCAGCUUCUAAGAAAAGCUCCUUGAUAUCUUCAUUUGAAACCGCAUAAUCCAAAUUGGAAAUGAGGAGCUUGAUCCCGGUCCCAAUACCGGACACCCCAGGUCUUCGGACAGACGACGGGUUAUGAUCCGCAAACAUAUCAUGGUCCCAAGUAGACUCCGGUGCAUGGACGGAAUAUGGCGCCGGCCUGUUGGUGGCACGGUUAGGGAAGCGACGCCUUGGACCUGGACCAGAGCCGAAUCCGGUUGUUCUGGGUCUAGGGUUCCGACUACUGGAACUUUUGUUCCUUUUGAUCAAAUCAUCGAGAGAUACAUCAAGAUUUGACAUAAUUUGUACAACAAAUGGUAUGAAAAUUGAGAUCUGGAUGAGGGUUAUGAAAUUUGGGGAAAAAGGGUUUUAGCCCAGAACCGAA